CAGAUAAAAUUGCGUUAUUGUUGCUAUUUUUUUUUAGACGAACAAUAAUAGAACUCGAAUAACAUUGAGUAAAUGAUUUUUUC
RNAcentral lists this non-coding RNA (83 nucleotides) under Pasteurella bettyae CCUG 2042. RNAcentral's name for it is "Aggregatibacter sRNA 69". It matches the Rfam family "Aggregatibacter sRNA 69". From Rfam's summary of the family: Validated by RT-PCR. Has Rho-independent terminator. The record is from Rfam by way of RNAcentral. Lineage: Bacteria; Pseudomonadati; Pseudomonadota; Gammaproteobacteria; Pasteurellales; Pasteurellaceae.